RNAcentral lists this ribosomal RNA (455 nucleotides) under uncultured bacterium. RNAcentral's name for it is "bacterial SSU rRNA". It matches the Rfam family "Bacterial small subunit ribosomal RNA", at positions 29 to 524 of the family's 1533-position model. The record is from RNAcentral.
AGCGAACGCUGGCGGCAGGCUUAACACAUGCAAGUCGAACGGGCGUAGCAAUACGUCAGUGGCAGACGGGUGAGUAACGCGUGGGAACGUACCUUUUGGUUCGGAACAACCCAGGGAAACUUGGGCUAAUACCGGAUAAGCCCUUACGGGGAAAGAUUUAUCGCCGAAAGAUCGGCCCGCGUCUGAUUAGCUAGUUGGUGUGGUAACGGCGCACCAAGGCGACGAUCAGUAGCUGGUCUGAGAGGAUGAUCAGCCACAUUGGGACUGAGACACGGCCCAAACUCCUACGGGAGGCAGCAGUGGGGAAUAUUGGACAAUGGGCGCAAGCCUGAUCCAGCCAUGCCGCGUGAGUGAUGAAGGCCCUAGGGUUGUAAAGCUCUUUUGUGCGGGAAGAUAAUGACGGUACCGCAAGAAUAAGCCCCGGCUAACUUCGUGCCAGCAGCAGCCGCCGUAAU